RNAcentral lists this ribosomal RNA (428 nucleotides) under uncultured bacterium. RNAcentral describes it as "bacterial SSU rRNA". It matches the Rfam family "Bacterial small subunit ribosomal RNA", at positions 355 to 775 of the family's 1533-position model. The record is from RNAcentral.
UGGGGAAUAUUGGACAAUGGGCGCAAGCCUGAUCCAGCCAUGCCGCGUGGGGGAUGAAGGCCUUCGGGUCGUAAACCCCUUUUCUGAGAGAAGAACAGCCUGCGUAGGAAAUGACGUGGGUUUGACGGUAUCUCAGGAAUAAGCAACGGCCAACUCCGUGCCAGCAGCCGCGGUAAUACGGAGGUUGCAAGCGUUGUUCGGAAUUACUGGGCGUAAAGGGAGCGCAGGCGGUCGGGUAAGUCUGAAGUGGAAGCCCGGGGCUCAACCCCGGAAGUGCUUUGGAUACUGCCUGACUUGAGUACGCGAGAGGAAAGCGGAAUUCCAGGUGUAGCGGUGAAAUGCGUAGAUAUCUGGAGGAACACCGGUGGCGAAAGCGGCUUUCUGGCGCGUUACUGACGCUGAGGCUCGAAAGCGUGGGGAGCAAACGG